This 492-nucleotide ribosomal RNA is filed under the name Triticum aestivum (bread wheat). Its description in RNAcentral is "partial small subunit ribosomal RNA". Lineage: Eukaryota; Viridiplantae; Streptophyta; Magnoliopsida; Poales; Poaceae. The record is from RNAcentral.
AUGGCAAGCCGAGGUGGACGUGGUCGUGUCAAACGUGGUCAAGCUAGCCACGGCGGCCAAGGCCAUGUCCAUCACAUGAUGCGCAUGGCGAGGAAGGCCAUGCCCAGAAAGUGCACAGAUAAGGCGAUGAAGGCCAUGUUCAGGGUGAAACGACGUGCAAGGAUAAUGCCAACAAUGCAACAUAGGAUCAAGGAGGUGAUAGGCAUGGUGCCGGUGACCGUACUUGUGGUCGAGGAGGACGUGGACGCAGUGCCAGCACCCAGCGGACGCUGUAGACGAGCCCUCAGACUGAUCGGUUUUGGUAACGACGAGCGAUGUUUCACCAAGUUUGGUUGCGGUCUUGGAUUGACCGGUCAUCAUGGCAGCAAUCAUUUCCAGGGCAAAGUCGACAGGCAGCUCAACGUGAUGCCCAUGGCAGCAGCGGCAACAUGGACAGGCAAAACAGUAAGUGCUUUCCUCCAAAAAUUCAAAUUGUCCCAUGAGCAUAAUUAA